Molecule: long non-coding RNA, 5343 nt
Filed under: Triticum aestivum (bread wheat)
Lineage: Eukaryota; Viridiplantae; Streptophyta; Magnoliopsida; Poales; Poaceae
Description: long non-coding RNA (TAES_LNC025167)
Source: RNAcentral
CCGUCAGGAGGAAAUAGAGAGUAGUAGAGGGAGUGUGUUUGGGCCUAGCCCAGGGGUUAUAGUAAGUGCUGGGCCGUGUCGUUGGGCCUUGGAGUGUGAGAGCCUGUAAGUGGCCAGGAGGAUAUAACCUGGAGGUGUGCGUCUGUAAACGAUAGCUAUGAUGAAUUGAUUCAUUGCUCACUUUCUCUUCCAUCCCCUUUCCUCCUUCCUUCUUCCCUUUCCCCACGGAAACCUCACCUACUCGCUCCUACCUACCCCGAUGGCGAUCAGGAGAUCCCAGUACAUCACAGAUGGUAUUCAGAGCUUGGUCUGACCUGUUUGCGCUUCCCUAUUCUCUUGAUCUAGCUGGUAAAUCCUGUGGAAGGUUGCAGAACGCCCUCGGGUUUGAUCUGCGUAAAUCCAGAAGUGGGUUAGCGGAUUUGGGGUGGGAGCAGCAACAGCGCCGUCCAAGCCGAGUGUGCAAUCGAGGCAGGUGAUUUCGGCCAUGGAGGCGUUUGAGGAGAGAUUGAUGAAGGAAUUGGAGGCCCUCAAAUUUGUGCGGGACAAAAUUGAGGGGAUUGACGCAAUCUCGUUGCGGCUAGAGGAGAUCGAUAAGAAGAUGGAGGAACAAGCUGGCCGGAUCAACGCAGUACAAGCAAAGGUGAACCUCACGAUGAGCUCAAUCGCGGAUGUGCGCCAAGAGCAAGUUUCGGUGGCCAAGGGGGCCAAGGCGGCGCAGCAGACCGCCUCACCGCGCGACGCGACCGAGGCGUUGCUGCCCUCGCCACCUCCGCAUCCCCCGCCUCCGCCCUUACAAGUUCCCCGACCACGGCCGCAAACUGGAUCCUCAGCUCAACCGGAUACAGGACGUGUGGAGGGUCAGACCCCGGAGGGACAGUUGUCACGCAGGCCAUGGAUGCCGAAAAUGGACUUCCCACGAUUUGAAGGGGACGAUGUUCGCAUCUGGAUCGAUGGUUGUGAGUCAUUCUUCCUGCUCUAUGACAUCCCGGAGAACUUCAAGGUAACAUCAGCUACUCUGCACUUGGGAGGUGAUGCUACACAUUGGUAUCUCACAUACAAAUAGGAGGUGGGAUGGGUGGAAUGGCGUCAGUUCAAAGAGGCUGUCAUACAAGAGUUUGAUGCUCACUGUCACCGGGAUAAGAUGAAAGCGCUGCUGAUGUUGAAACAGGAAAGCACUAUAGAUGAAUACAAGAGAAAUUUCCUUCAGUUAGUCUAUCAGGUGCGGCUGUAUGACCCUGCUAUCAGUGAUACCUUCUUGGUCACACGGUUUAUUUUAGGAUUAAAAGAAGAAUUGCAUGGGGUAGUGGAGAUUCAGUUUCCACUCACAGUGGCAGCAGCUGCAGCAUUUGCAUCCGUUCAAGAGGGAACUCUGCUUCGAGCUUGGGCACCACGACAAUUUCCAAAAUCCAGUGUCACUAAACCUGAUAGCAAAGGGGGGCAAGCCUCCGGGGAUAUCUGGCGCGCACGACAACUGAAAGAGUACCGCCGUGCAAAUGGUCUCUGUUUUGGGUGUGGGGAGAAGUUUGCCCCAGGUCACAGUUGUGCUAAACCCGCGGCGGCUCAAGAAAAUGCCAUAGUUGGGACUGACACUGAUGCUGACCGAAUACCUGACACCGUGUUGGACGCCAUUGCUAUGCAGGAAGCAGUCAAAGAAGAGCUCAUGUUAUCUGUCAAUGCUCUCUCCGGUGCAGAUCAUCCCAAAACAAUUCGAUUGAGAGCAAUGGUGGGAAAUCAAGUUGUGAUUAUUCUCCUUGACUCCGACAGUACACAUAGUUUCAUUGAUGAAGGUAUCCUGGACAGAUUGAAACUGCAGCCACAAUCUCUGCAGACAGCUCUGUCAGUUAAAGUAGCUAAUGGGGAGGUGUUACCUUGUAAAGCUGAACUUCUAGAACUCACUUGGUGGAUACAGGGCAACACUUUAAGUUACCCACUGAAAGUGGUGGAGUUAGGAGGACAUGAUAUAAUCCUGGGAAUGGAUUGUCUCGAACAAUGGAGUCCUAUGACUUGCCAUUGGAAGGAAAAGUGGGUUCAAUUUCUCUACAAAGGCACAGAAAUAAAACUGAAGGGCAUUCAGACUCAGCAACCAACAGUGUUACAGAGAAUGUCAGUUGAUCAAGUGUUGAAAUGGGAGAAAGGAAAUGAUAUAUGGGCCACUGCUGUGCUUAUGCCUAAGGAAAGUCCAACUUCAGUAGCCCCUUAGGAACCUAUACAGCAGCUCAUUACUGAAUAUCAGGACAUAUUUCAAGAGCCCAAGACACUCCCUCCCCACAGGACUUUUGACCAUGCAAUCCAUCUUAUCCCUGAUGCUCAGCCAGUUAAUUCCAGGCCUUAUCGAUACUCACCUCUACAGAAAGAUGAGAUAGAGAGGCAAGUGGAGGAAAUGCUUAAAGCUGGACUAAUCACACCUAGCAUGAGUCCCUUUGCAUCCCCUGUUCUAUUGGUGAAAAAGAAGGAUGGUUCAUGGAGAUUUUGCACUGAUUAUAGAAAAUUAAAUGCUAUCACUAUGAAGAACAGAUUUCCUAUGCCAAUUGUAGAAGAAUUAUUGGAUGAGUUGGCUGGAACAACAUAUUUUUCCAAGAUAUAUCUAAAGGCCCGGUACCAUCAAAUUAGAAUGGUUCCUCAAGAUGAGUUCAAGACUGCCUUUAAGACACAUCUGGGACAAUACCAAUUUAAGGUCAUGCCUUUUGGUUUGGCAAUGGCCCUAUCCACAUUUCAGUGUGUCAUGAAUUAUCUGUUUGCACCGUAUAUUAGGAAGUUUGUGCUCGCCUUUAUGGAUGAUAUUCUAGUCUUCAGUCACACUCUAGAAGAGCAUAAGGAGCACUUAAAGGUGGUGUUUCAACUACUCAGGGAGCAUCAAUUUUAUGCAAAAGAAUCCAAAUGCUCCUUUGCUCAGUCUCAGUUGGAAUAUUUGGGCCAUAUCAUCUCUGACAAAGGGGUGGCCACAGACCCAGCCAAGACAGAGGCUAUGGUUAAGUGGCCAGUGCCAACUAACCCAACUGAGCUGCGAGGGUUCUUGGGGCUGACUGGUUACUAUAGAAAAUUUGUGAAGGGCUAUGGAGUGCUGGCCAGACCACUAACAACCUUGCUUCAGAAGAAAGCUUUUCAAUGGAGUGAGGAGGCCAACCUAGCUUUACAAGAUCUCAAGAAGGCCAUGACCUCUACUCCGGUGCUGCUUUUACCUGACUUCUCUAAACAAUUCACUAUAGAGACAGAUGAUUGUGCAACGGGCAUUGGAGCAGUGUUGGCUCAGGAGGGACACCCUAUAGCAUUUUACAGCAAGGCUUUGAGUGUGCGAAACCAGCAGCUCUCCAUUUAUGAGAAAGAAUUUUUGGCUAUCAUCAUGGCGGUGGAGAAAUGGAGAGCCUAUUUGAGCAGGGGGGCCUUUCAUUAUUAAGACGGAUCACCAGAGUCUUUGUCACCUGGGGAAUCAAGUGCUUUCAACUGAAUUGCAAACAAAAGCAAUGACAAAAUUGGUAGGAUUGGAAUUCAAAUUUCAGUAUAAGAAAGGAGUGGAGAAUGUGGUUGCUGAUGCUUUGUCCAGGGUGGGUCAUCUUAUGGCCACUCGAUUAAUUUCCCACACUCAGCCAGCAUGGAUGCAGGAAGUUUUAAAUUCAUAUACAAUGGACAAGGAAGCACAACAACUUCUGCAGAAAUUGGCCCUUUCCUCAGAGCCUCUGGAUGGCUACAGUCUGCAAGAGGGCAUUAUUCACUAUCAAGGAAGGAUUUGGCUAGGGGCCAAUACAACCCUCAAAACUAAAGUUAUUGCUAACUUUCACUCUAGUGCAGUAGGGGGACACUCUGGAAUUCAAGCAACUUAUCAGCGGGUCAAGAAACUGUUCUGCUGGACAAAUCUGAAACAAGAUGUUCAAGACUUUGUCAAACAAUGUGGAGUCUGUCAGCAAGCUAAGCAUGAACAUUGCAGAUCUCCGGGCUUGUUAAAUCCAUUGCCUGUGCCUCAGGGGCCUUGGCUAGACAUUACAAUGGAUUUCAUUGAGGGACUGCCUAAAUCAAAUGGUUACUCCUCUAUCCUCGUGGUGGUCGACAGGUUUACAAAAUACAGUCAUUUUAUCCCACUCAAGCAUCCAUUCACUGCUCCUGUAGUAGCAAGAGCAUUUCUGGAUCAAGUGGUCAAGCUACAUGGCCCUCCCAAAACUAUUAUCUCAGACAGAGACAAAAUCUUCACUAGUGUUUUCUGGAAAGAGUUUUUCAAAUUAUGGGGCACUAAACUCUUGAUGAGCACGACCUAUCACCCACAAACUGAUGGACAAAGUGAAAGGGUGAAUCUAGAAAUGUAUUUGAGAUGUGCUGUGCAUGAUCAACCUAGACAGUGGCAAUCUUGGCUUUCUGUGGCGGAAUUCUGGUAUAACACCAACCACCACACCUCUUUGGGUUGCUCUCCUUACAAAGCUCUCUAUGGACAUGAACCUCAUUAUGGUACAUUUCCUGUGACCUCCUCUUCUCCACACCCUGAUGUGCAGCAGUGGAUUUCUGAAAAUCAAGCACACUGUGAUCAGCUCAAAGAACAUCUCUUGAGAGCUCAGACCAGGAUCAAACAUUAUGCUGACCAACAAAGAAGUGAAAGAGAGUUUCAGGUUGGCGACAAGGUGUACCUCAAGUUACAACCCUAUGCUCAACAUUCAGUGGCCAACAGGCCUUGUCCAAAAUUGGCCCUCAAGUUCUUUGGUCCUUUUGAAAUCCUGGAAAGAAUUGGACCAGCUGCAUACAAAUUGCAGCUACCCGAUGAAGCUGUGAUUCACCCAGUAUUCCAUGUCUCUCAACUAAAAGAGCAUGUACCUGACCACACCCCGGUCUUCCAUACAGUACCAACUCAGGUGGAUUUGUCUGGUUCAGACCUGCAACCUGAAGAAAUUCUCGACAAGCGAUUGGUUAAAAAGGGCAACAAUGCCCACUUGCAGAUUUUGGUGCAAUGGUCUGCAUUGCCAGCAUCAGCGGCAACUUGGGAAGAUUAUGAUGCCUUGCGUCUGCAUUAUCCAGCGGCACCAGCUUGGGGACAAGCUGGUUCUUCAGGAGGAGCACCUAUCAGCACCAUGGCUUCAACUACCGCGGGCAUGCCGUCAGGAGGAAAUACAGAGUAGUAGAGGGAGUGUGUUUGGGCCUAGCCCAGGGGUUAUAGCAAGUGCUGGGCCGUGUCGUUGGGCCUUGGAGUGUGAGAGCCUGUAAGUGGCCAGGAGGAUAUAACCUGGAGGUGUGCGUCUGUAAACGAUAGCUAUGAUGAAUUGAUUCAUUGCUCACUUUCUCUUCCAUCCCCUUUCCUCCUUCCUUCUUCCCCUUCCCCACGGAAACCUCACCUACUCGCUCCUACCUACCCCGAUGGCGAUCGGG